This is an RNA transcript of Musa acuminata AAA Group (dessert banana), 7045 nucleotides long. It is a transcript of the gene named auxin response factor 17, with no coding region annotated. The transcript has 18 exons. Lineage: Eukaryota; Viridiplantae; Streptophyta; Magnoliopsida; Zingiberales; Musaceae. The record is from RefSeq and is a predicted model, not a curated record.
UAGAGAGAUCAGUCCUCUCUGCUUUCUUGGAGGGCGACACGAAGCACCCUAUCGAAGUCCAUAUUUUUGGAGCGUUCGAUCAAACCAAGCGAAAGAUCUGUGGCCACGAACUGCUCCCAGCUCCCGAAGGCCACUGCGUGGUGCCAAUCUCCGUCCCGUGGUGCUUGGUCGUGGAGAUCUCGGGUGCAUGGUGUUCCAGGUGGAACCCCCGCGGCUCGGGAGCUCGGGCUAGCCUUUGCGGAGCUCUUUGUUCAGGUUCUUGGUCGACGCCGAGGUAGGGUUUGGAGGUCGUGGUUCUCCCCGGAAAGGCGGCUACUUUCGGUGGUUGGUUUGGAGGGAGCUGCGAAGGGGAGAUCCGGCGGUUCUUCCUGCUGCCGUUUGGUUUUUUUUUUUAUCACAAUGCGUGGGAUGGUUGGAGUUGUCGUGAUUUCAGCUGUUGUUUGAGGUCAUUGAAGCUUGGGAUUGAGUGAGGUAAAAAGACUUUAUCUUUUUAUGGGGUUUCAGCUCGGUAGGUUUGGUUGAGGUAGAUGGUGUGUUGGUUCUUUCUUUCUUUCUCCCCUUUGAAGUCAGCUUUUUGGGUUUAAGUUUGAGCAUCAGGCGAAGGAAUAUGUAGUGGUUGAGGUGAAGGGUUACAGUCGGUGUCUUCGUGACAAAUUGAAUAAGCUUGGGAAACUGGAAUCUCUCGGAUCUGCGAUUCUGGUGCUAAGUCCAAUAUUUUCUUUUGAUGUCAAAAUUUGCUAUCUGUAAACCUAGCAAAUGCAGAUCGAAGCUUAGUAAUUGAAAGUGGCCGUUUCUUGCAUAGGUAUUCCAUAUGGAUUAGGCCAAGCCAAUUAGUCUUUUUAUAUGUCUGAUAAGUAGCUUUCAUAGAUUGAAGUCUACAAGGUUUACGAGCAGAGGAGUAAAACGUUGGAGCAGGCUUCCUUGUGGAAACAGGCAAGGUAAAACUAAGAUCCGAGUUUUGUUGCAUGAAGUGCCUGCGCUCAAAGAUUUCAGUUUGCUGACAAAAAGGAGCAACUUUGAUUGUAAGUAAAUAGUGGAGCAUGCAAUCUAGUGGAAAGAGGCAAGAAAGGAGCAGCCUUGAUAGUAAGAGUGUGUGCUUCCUCCUGCAAUAAGCUUCGUCUCAACUACCAAAGAUGAGGCUCGCAUCUUCAAAUAUCCCCAAUCAGUCAGAAGAAGAAGAAACACGGUGUUUGAACUCCGAGUUAUGGCACACAUGUGCGGGACCUCUAGUUUCAUUACCAGCUGUUGGAAGUCGGGUGGUAUAUUUCCCACAGGGUCACAGCGAGCAGGUAGCUGCAUCAACCAACAAAGAAAUUGACUCUCAAAUCCCCAAUUACCCAAGCUUACCUCCCCAGCUGAUCUGUCAGCUGCAUAAUGUUACUAUGCAUGCAGAUGUGGAGACUGAUGAAGUUUAUGCUCAGAUGACAUUGCAACCACUGAGCCCACAAGAGCAAAAAGAUCCCUAUCUCCCUAAUGAUUUGGGUACCUCCAACAAACAACCAACAAAUUAUUUCUGUAAGAUGUUGACCGCAAGUGACACCAGUACUCAUGGUGGAUUCUCUGUUCCCCGUCGAGCAGCAGAAAAAGUUUUUCCUCCUUUGGACUAUUCACAGCAGCCUCCUGCUCAUGAGUUAGUUGCAAGAGACCUUCAUGACAAUGAAUGGAAGUUUCGUCAUGUUUUUCGUGGUCAGCCGAAGAGGCAUCUUCUGACUACAGGAUGGAGUACUUUUGUGAGUGCAAAGAGACUUGUUGCAGGGGAUUCUGUUCUUUUUAUCUGGAAUGAAAACAAUCAGUUGCUUUUGGGUAUUCGGCAUGCCAAUCGACCUCAAACAUUUAUGCCUUCAUCUGUACUGUCUAGUGAUAGCAUGCACAUUGGCCUUCUUGCUGCAGCUGCUCAUGCUGCUGCUACAAAUAGCCGAUUCACCAUUUUCUAUAACCCAAGGGCAAGUCCUUCUGAAUUUGUGAUUCCACUAGCUAAGUAUGUCAAGGCAGUCUAUCACACCCGGGUUGCUGUGGGUAUGCGUUUCCGGAUGCUGUUUGAAACUGAAGAGUCAAGUGUUCGACGAUACAUGGGCACAAUUACAGGGAUUAGCGAUCUUGACCCUGCCCGAUGGCCAAACUCACACUGGCGUGCCCUAAAGGUUGGCUGGGAUGAGUCAACAGCUGGAGAGAAGCAGCCUAGGGUUUCACUUUGGGAGAUUGAACCUCUAACAACCUUUCCAAUGUAUCCAUCUUCCUUUCCUGUUCGUCUUAAGCGCCCAUGGCCCACUGGAUUGCCCUUCUUUCAUGGUGGAAAUGAUGAUAUCGAUCUCAAUUUACCUCUGAUGCGGCUUAGAGAUAGUGGGUACCCAGCAAUUCAGUCAUUAAAUUUCCAGGGUGUUGGUGUUACACCUUGGAUGCAGCCAAGACUUGAUGCUUUAAUGCUUGGUCUACAACCUGACAUGUGCCAGGCAAUGACUACAGGAGCGCUUCAGGAAAUGAGGACCAUAGAUCCUACAAAGCAGGUCUCUCCUGCAAUUCUUCAAUUCCAGCAACCACAGAACUCAGCUAAUAUAUCCACUCCCACACUACCAAGUCCAAUUCUACAGCAUGUGCAAACCUUCCUUCAAGCCACACAAGAUAAUCAGGUCCAAAGCCAGAAUCAGUCUCAAUUUCUUCAUCAUCAUUUGCAACAGGGCCAUUCCUUUGCUCAACAAGGGCAACAGCAAGUUCCACAGCAGCAGCAGCAGAAUCUGCAUCUGCUGACACCACAUUGUCAACAAAUUCAGCAGCAGAAGAUAUUGUCUGGUUAUCAAGAAGUACCUUAUGUUGCUUCAAAUCUUUUACAGCUUAGCUCUAGUUCUCAAUCCCAAUCAACCACAGUGCACAUGAUUUCCCCAUCUUGCCAGCUGAAGGACUUCCCAGAUUCUAAUGGUAACUCUGUUUCAGCAUCCAAUGCCUCUCCUCUACAUGGUAUUUUCCAGCAAAAUUCUUCUGAAGAAACAUCACAACUUAGUUUGCCAAAAUAUGGUCAACCAGUUACUUCCAGUCCCUGGUCAUCCAAGCGAGCUGCAGUUGAGUCAGGGCUCCCUUUGGGGGCUCAAAGCAUGCUCUCGCAUGUAGAACAAUUGGGUGCAACACAACCUAAUAUUUCCCUACAUUCUGUUAUGUUACCACCAUUUCCUGGAAAAGAAUGCUCAGCAAGUCGAGAUGGUAACAUGGAUAUGCAAAACCAGCACUUGUUUGGUGUCAAUGUUGACUCAUCAAUUCUAGCGCAGAAUGGCAUUCCAAGCCUCAACACUGGUGUCAGUGAGACUUGUUCGACAAAUUUGUCGUAUGCCACAUGCAAUUUACUGAGCUCCUCUGGAAAUGAUUUCCGUAUCAAUCGAGCAUUGAGUGGUUGCAAUGGUUUGGAUGAAUCAAGAUUUUUGAGGUCCCAUGAGAAUGUUGAUCAAGCAAAUCCGCAGAGUGGAUUGUUUGUUAAGGUAUAUAAAUCAGGUUCAUUUGGGAGGACACUGGACAUCACCAAGUUUAGCAGCUACCAUGAUUUACGCAGUGAGCUUGGGUGUCUUUUUGGCCUGGAAGGCCAAUUGGAGGACCCUUUGAGAUCAGGCUGGCAGCUUGUUUUUGUCGACCGGGAGAAUGAUGUCCUUCUUGUUGGCGAUGAUCCUUGGCAGGAGUUUGUAAACAGUGUGUCAUACAUAAAGAUACUUUCGCCCGAAGAAGUGCAGCAGAUGGGCAAACAGGGAAUAGAUUUCGUGAAUUCAGCCCCCCUCAAGAGGCUUCAAAGAAAUGGAUGUGAUGAUCAUGUUAGUCAGCAGGAUUCAACAAAUCUUAGCGCCAGGAUCACAUCCAUGGGGUCAUUCAAAUACUGAAGAGGCAACCUUCUCUUUUCCCAGCCCUACAUUUUGCUGCACUUGAGAGUUGGAAUUAAGCACCAAAGUUCAAAACCAGGUUCAAGUUUGAGAUAAAUCAUUUCAUAUCUGGAAGGCUACAUCCACAAAAGUUUAGAGAGAGAGAGAGACCCCAUGUAAGUUGGUUCUUGUCCAAGCAGGAACUGCAUUCAUUGUAGCAGGGAAGAUGGCCACUUCUUCAGGUCACUGGUAAAGCCUACUCUCUCUCUCUCUCUCUCUCUCUCUCUCUCUCUCUCUUGAUUGCAAACAGGCUGCCCUGCUGCUUUGGCUGAUGGAUGUUAGGUUCGUCGAGGUGACACAUUGCCACUGGACCUAAAAGCGGGGAGCAUGUGGCCUCCAUGAACUCCCACUUACAAAAAGAUAUGGACAGCUCUUCCCCUUGUCACCUUCUUCCUUGCAUCAUCAUUCUCCCAUCCCUUUCCGAUCUGUGUUGGCCCCAGUGGCCAUGGCCUCAGAUCGACUGCUUUUCCAGCUUCAUGUUAUGUGACAGUAAUAAUCCCUUGGUCAAACUGUUCAUCCAACAGACAUCAGUAGCAGCAGCAUUUCACCUUUCCAAAGCUAUUGCUCCUGUUUGAAACUGUUCUCUUCUCUCGAUCCCUUCUGAAGAAAUCUCCUGCAGGCUUUGUGGGUGGCAUGCAGUCAUAGAUAGUCAUUUUUGGUUUCUUAAGUUAGUAUGUGAUGAUGAUAAUGACAUAAAAGAUGGUGAGCUUGAGAUCAAGAUUGUUUAAUGGUGAUGGUUCUUGGAUUUUUUUUACUUAAUUAAAAUCAAAGAUAAAAGAAAAAAAUACAGUUGGAAUAAUAAAAAAUGAUGAUGAUGAUGGUUCAUUCUAUUAGAAAGGAGAGAGUAGAUUUAAACAAGAAAACUGUGCAGCAACUAAGAAUAAACCAUAUAUAUAUAUAUACAUAUAUAUAUAUAUAUAUAAUACUUUUAAUUAUCUUUAGCAUAUCGAUUUUUAUAUUUUUAAAAAUUACAUUAAGUUCUCUAUACAUAUGAUUAACUAACUUCGUUGUUUCAAAUUUUUAAUCUUAUAAAAUUAAUUUUUUUAUGUUGUAUAAAGAUCUUAAUGUUUUAUUUUUAUGAAUAUAGAAAUCUUAAUAUAACUUUUGAAAGUGUAGAGAUCAAGAUAACCUAUUAUAAUUAGUCUUGUAGCUAAAUAUAGGUAAACUUCAAAAGUUUCAUAUCAUGAUAGAUGGAUUUGUCUUGUGUGUGUCAUAAGAUCAAUUUGUUUAUCACAAAUCAGACAUGGAUGCAUCUUUUGCUGACAGGGAGAAGGGUUUUAAACAAGAAAACUGUAGAGAUAAUAGAUAUCAAAACAUCAAUCCACAUGAAGAACUCUAAUUCACAGAACACUCAUCUGAUUCAUCCCUGUGAUAGGAUGGAUUUGUCUCAUCUAUUAUAUGAGCAAAAUAAUCACACAUUAGACAAGACAUGUAUACAUCUUUUUUCUAAUAGAGAGAAGUCCCAAAGAACAAAACUGUGCAGCAAUGUUGAAGCCAGUAAUAAACCCUCCCCACAAACACUGCCAAAUGUUUCUUUUACUCUUCAUUGUGAUGAUCUUUUUUUGAAGUUGACAUCAAUGCAGGAAUUGACUUCGUUCAAAUGGAUACCAAUAAUAUAAUGUGUUCAAAUAUAUUUUAUAUAUAUAUAUAUAUAUAUAUAUAUAUAUAUAUAUAUUUGUGGCAGAGCUGUAAUUAUCCCCAACUGCUCCCAUUACGUGGGGGAUGACAAAAAGUCAAACGCGCGUAAUCCAUUCCUCCCGACGAUGGCAAAACCGUAAUUAUCUGCAGAUUGGCCGUCGAAGACUGCGAGAGUCAACCAUCUUGUCCCUGAUCAUUGGUCAGCACACGGCGAUCUUUCCUGCCUUCUCGUGAGAGUGAUUAAUAUGUUAUAUUCUUGAUCAUAUACAUAUAUCAAUCCUUCUUGCUGCUGGAUUUCAUCUUCUAAUAGCAAACUGGAUAUCAGUUCUUGCAGAUGAUUCUUGGAGACCUUCUUUUUCUUGGGCUAUUUAGGUUGGGAACCGCUAGGGUCUGGAUAAAGUUGGGUUCUUGAUUGGAUUACCGGUUCGUUUGUGGUGGCUCGAUUGGGGUUUCUUCGUCGCCCUCCUUCUUUCUCCCUGUUCCGUUUGAGGCAUUCCUAAAUGUGUAACUUCGUGUGGUUUCUCGAGUUUGUUUUCUUUAUUCUUCAAUUGGCUCUCGAUGUCUAGGGCUGUUUGUCCAGUUUGGGCUGGUUUAGGUUUCUUCUUCGCCAUGGCGAUCUGCUGAGCGUGCUUGCUAUUGAUCGAGGAAGUGAUCUAGACUAUCACCCUGGAGCGUCUUGUUUCUUGGAUUGAGAUGGCCAUGGAGCAGAGAGUCCAUGAGAUUUUAGAGGCGAUUAGGGUUUAAGUUCCGACUGUUUAAGGGAUUGUUUGAGAUGGACUGCUUGCAGCUGGGUUGGAAAGCUGAUGGAUUUCGUCGGCAAAGGCAGUUUGAUUGUUGCAGUUCCUCAAUUCCACUGCCAGGCUUAUAAUCAUCACUAGUCAUACAAUUACAAAUUUAGUAUUUGACGAACUCAUGUUCCUAAUCUCAACAACCGCAACAACAACGGAAACAAACAUCGUGCCAUCGACGUAGGUAAACGGGCACAUCCAUGGCUUCUCACAGAAGAGUGUCAGAGGGAAGAGCUAUUCCAGCCGAUGAACUGCUAACCAGCGAGAACAGUGGCUGAAGGUGAGCUUUGAUGAUGGUGUCUGAAAUCCAAAAAGAGUGCUCAAGCAUGAAAAGAACUCGACACUGCUAAAAGGUUCGAUAAGGGCUAAUUAAAGCUUACAAUUCACAAGAAACAAUUGUUGACAGGCAUGUAAAGACUCUGCAAGGAUCUUAUAGUUUCAUGAGCAUGCUUUUUUCUGAUACAAGGCAGCAGAACUCUCAACCUUGUUCAGAAAGGGAGAUGAAAGCUGAUAUGAACCCAUCCUUCAUGGUCUGUGUCCUGUCAUUGACUUGUGGCUUCAAUGACAUUAAUAUUUGGGUCAACAUCCUAUAGGCUAUAUGAGUGUGAUGAAAAUUUGGUUUCAAUACUGAUGCAUGUAUCAGUCAAGAGUCAGUAAUGACAAGAUAUAUGAUAGAUGCAUGGAUGUAUGAGUUCUAUUUGAUCCACCAUUUGUGAGAUCUGACCA